AGUGAACGCUGGCGGCAGGCCUAACACAUGCAAGUCGAGCGGCAGCGCGGGGGCAACCCUGGCGGCGAGCGGCGGACGGGUGAGGAAUUCGUCGGAAUCUGCCUUUUUGUGGGGGAUAACGUAGGGAAACUUACGCUAAUACCGCAUACGUCCUACGGGAGAAAGUGGGGGACCGCAAGGCCUCACGCAGAAAGAUGAGCCGACGACCGAUUAGCUAGUUGGUGGGGUAAAGGCCCACCAAGGCGACGAUCGGUAGCUGGUCUGAGAGGAUGAUCAGCCAACUGGGACCUGAGCACGGGCCCAGACCCCUAAGGGGGGCAGCGGGGGGAAAUAUGGGAAAAUGGGCGAAAGCCUGACCCAGCCAGGCCGGGGGGGUGAAGAGGGCCUUCGGGUUGUAAAGCACUUUUGUCCGGAAAAAAAUCCCGGGGGCUAAUCCCUUCGGGGGAUGACGGUACCGGAAAAAAGAGCACCGGCAAACUUCGU
Molecule: ribosomal RNA, 483 nt
Filed under: uncultured bacterium
Lineage: Bacteria
Description: partial 16S ribosomal RNA
Rfam family: Bacterial small subunit ribosomal RNA
Source: RNAcentral